GCAGCUUCCCUGCUGCCCAGUUCAGGGAAGGACGCGGUAAGAGGCAUUAUGAGAAGUCCCUUUUGUCUCUCACUGCAGCCCUGUGCCAAGGGGCAUAGCCGCGGGGCAGCGCUGGAAAGAAACUGGAAUGAGACUCAGCCUCCUCCUACGUGGGACUCCUCGGCGGAGCGGCAGCGUCCUGGGGCCAUGCUCGCCCUCGCCCCAUCCCGGCUGCCGCAGCCCAGCAGGUUCCAGCGGCCACAGGAGCGCUGUGGGGAGAGGAUGGGAACCUACAGGGCAGGACUCCUUGCCAGGCCCACAUGGCUGCUUCCUGAGUAAUCUGGCUGAGUCUUCCAGCAGGGUGGCCUGGCCCUUUGCCCACUCAAGGCUACUCCCCACCACUGCUCGCUCCCAGCGCCAGACAUCAGAAAACCCAGCCUGACCUGCCUCUGUUUUUGACAUUCUUCCAAUAAAUACCUGCAGCUC
Molecule: long non-coding RNA, 465 nt
Filed under: Dasypus novemcinctus (nine-banded armadillo)
Lineage: Eukaryota; Metazoa; Chordata; Mammalia; Cingulata; Dasypodidae
Description: lncRNA (ENSDNOG00000052416.1)
Source: RNAcentral